This 440-nucleotide ribosomal RNA is filed under the name uncultured bacterium. RNAcentral's name for it is "partial 16S ribosomal RNA". It matches the Rfam family "Bacterial small subunit ribosomal RNA", at positions 338 to 795 of the family's 1533-position model. The record is from RNAcentral.
CCUACGGGUGGCUGCAGUGGGGAAUAUUGCACAAUGGGGGAAACCCUGAUGCAGCGACGCCGCGUGAGCGAAGAAGUAUUUCGGUAUGUAAAGCUCUAUCAGCAGGGAAGAAAAUGACGGUACCUGAGUAAGAAGCUCCGGCUAAAUACGUGCCAGCAGCCGCGGGAAUACGUAUGGAGCAAGCGUUAUCCGGAUUUACGGGGCGUCAAGGGAGCGUAGGCGGCCUGCCACGUCUGAUGUGAAAUACCGGGGCUCAACCCCGGGGCUGCAUUGGAAACUGGCAGGAUGGAGUGACGGAGAGGCAGGCGGAAGUCGUAGUGUAGCGGGGAAGUGCGGAGAUAUUAGGAGGAACACCAGUGGUGAAGGCGGCCGGCUGGACGGUGACGGACGGGGAGGCGGGAAAGCGUGGGGAGCAAACAGGAUUAGAUACCCGAGUAGGA